UUUUUCAUAUGAGAACUUUGAAAGCAAAUUAGUAGUUAGUUAUACAUUUGUUAUUCAAAUUAUGUCAAUCUAAUAUUUAGCCAUGAGCCUAUCAUGAUGUGAUUAGAAUACUAGAUUAGGAGAGAAUACAUGGAACAAGAAAUUGUUUGCUUAGAAUCAAGUUAGACAACUUUCAAACCAAAUAAGUAACAUAAUUGCAUACCAUUGUAUCAUAUAUUGUUGAUCUAAGUAUUUCAUGAUAGUUAAAAAAAAA
RNAcentral lists this small RNA (253 nucleotides) under Arabidopsis thaliana (thale cress). RNAcentral's name for it is "ATSL081860". Lineage: Eukaryota; Viridiplantae; Streptophyta; Magnoliopsida; Brassicales; Brassicaceae. The record is from RNAcentral.